This 73-nucleotide transfer RNA is filed under the name Biquartavirus 44RR2. RNAcentral's name for it is "Aeromonas phage 44RR2.8t tRNA". It matches the Rfam family "tRNA". From Rfam's summary of the family: Transfer RNA (tRNA) molecules are approximately 80 nucleotides in length. The record is from Rfam by way of RNAcentral. Lineage: Duplodnaviria; Heunggongvirae; Uroviricota; Caudoviricetes; Pantevenvirales; Straboviridae. RNAcentral also lists the same sequence under 5 other names.
GCCGAUUUAGCUCAUCCGGUAGAGCAGUUGUUUUGUAAGCAUCAGGUGGUCCGUUCGAGUCGGACAAUCGGCA